RNAcentral lists this ribosomal RNA (878 nucleotides) under Glycomyces lechevalierae. RNAcentral's name for it is "bacterial SSU rRNA". It matches the Rfam family "Bacterial small subunit ribosomal RNA", at positions 55 to 943 of the family's 1533-position model. The record is from RNAcentral. Lineage: Bacteria; Bacillati; Actinomycetota; Actinomycetes; Glycomycetales; Glycomycetaceae.
AUGCAGUCGAACGGAAGGCCCGCUUGCGGGUACUCGAGUGGCGAACGGGUGAGUAACACGUGGGUAACCUGCCCCCAUCUCUGGGAUAACCGUUGGAAACGGCGGCUAAUACCGGAUACGACCACCUUCCGCAUGGUUGGUGGUGGAAAGUUUUUGCGGUUGGGGAGGGGCCCGCGGCCUAUCAGCUUGUUGGUGCGGUAGUGGCGCACCAAGGCUUUGACGGGUAGCCGGCCUGAGAGGGCGGUCGGUCACAUUGGGACUGAGAUACGGCCCAGACUCCUACGGGAGGCAGCAGUGGGGAAUUUUGCACAAUGGGCGCAAGCCUGAUGCAGCGACGCCGCGUGAGGGAUGACGGCUUUCGGGUUGUAAACCUCUUUUAUCCACCACGAAGGCCAGGUAUUCGCCUGGUUGACGGUAGUGGUUGAAUAAGCGCCGGCUAACUACGUGCCAGCAGCCGCGGUAAGACGUAGGGCGCGAGCGUUGUCCGGAUUUAUUGGGCGUAAAGGGCUCGUAGGCGGUUGAUUGCGUCCGCCGUGAAAGGCCUCGGCUUAACCGGGGUUUUGCGGUGGAUACGGGUCGACUUGAGGCAAUUAGGGGAGAUCGGAAUUCUACGUGUAGCGGUGAAAUGCGCAGAUAUGUGGAGGAACACCGGUGGCGAAGGCGGAUCUCUGGGAUUGUUCUGACGCUGAGGAGCGAAAGCGUGGGGAGCGAACAGGAUUAGAUACCCUGGUAGUCCAUGCUGUAACGGUGGGCGCUAGGUGUGGGGUCACGUUGGUUGAUUCUGUGCCGUAGCUAACGCAUUAAGCGCCCGCCUGGGGAGUACGGCCGCAGGCUAAACUCAAGGAAUUGACGGGGCCCGCACAGCGGCGGAGCAUGCG